Molecule: non-coding RNA, 138 nt
Organism: Triticum aestivum (bread wheat)
Lineage: Eukaryota; Viridiplantae; Streptophyta; Magnoliopsida; Poales; Poaceae
Source: Rfam
AAAGUACUCCAUCCGUCCGAAAAUACUUGUCAUCAAAAUGGAUAAAAAAGGGAUGUAUCUAGAACUAAUAUACAUCUAGAUACAUCCCAUUUUAUUGAUUUAUUGAUAACAAGUAUUUCCAGACGGAGGGAGUACGUA